UGGAUGUCCCUUGUCACCCUUGGGUGACCAGAGUGUAGUGUGGGAUGUCCCUAAGGCCUGGAGAUGGCCACCAGGAAAAGUGUACGCCCUCUUGGUGAUGCUCGUGCCCUCUUGGCAAACAUCCCAGGAGCACCACAUCACCUGGAGGAGCCAGCAGGCUCGUUUUGGUGCUCCAUUGCUGAUUCACUGCAGGUGUUCGCCAUGAGAUGGGCACAGCACUGUAGAACACCAUCCCCACCCCAGGGGCACGUCACACCCUGCAUGCAAUUACAUUCACCUCGCUGGAGGAUUUUCACUCCCUACCUUUGAUUGCAACCUUGGGGGCUGGAGUGAUAGCUUUUAUAUAUAAUUGGUUUACUUUACAGCAGUAUUUUGAAGAAGAGAGGAAAUGAAGCUUUUUGGUUGGAGGGAAGGGACAGGGUUUGGCUUGCUGACAUUUCUUUUGUUGCGAUGUUGUAUAGGUCUCGCUUGCCUGAAAAAAGGAGAAAGGAGGAGUGUGUGCAGGAGUUCAGGUCCUGCUGUGGCUUCUUGGGAAGUGAGGCAUUUUUGCUUCUCUAAAGAAACCCCAUGGGAUUACAAAUGUUUGUGUGAAUGCCCAGAUCAGAUCCUGAGAAGGGAACAGCAGGUUACACAGCCCCACAACCACACACUGCUUCAUCCUUGCGCAUGUGGGCACCACCAAAACUUUGGAUCAAAGGUUUUGAGGCCUUACAUCCUCUCAGAAUGCAGUUGCUGUAAAUCUGGAAAAAAUAAACAGUGACGUUGUUCCGUCUUCCUUCAGCUCACUGCAAUUUCCUCUCCAUGUUCAGCUGCUCUUCAUCAGUGGCUCCCACCAUCAUUGGAGCCAGCACGCGGUGGUGCUCAGGAGGAGCACGCCCUGGAAGCAAAGCAGUCCAUUCUGGUUUGUGAACUGGGUUGUGUGUAUGACCAUCUGGGUCUCGCAUGUGGGAUCUGGCAGAGGUCUACAGGAAUGACUGACAUAGGUACUUCUUUUCUGACAGGUCAAGUGGGUGAUUCAUUAGUUAAACUAAAUAUAUGUUUUUUUCAAAUAUGCAAGAUGAAGUACUGAAACGUAUGCAUAUAUUGUCUGCAUUUAUGAUCAGAGCUAGCUGCUUUUUGCUUUUGUAGCAUCACAGCAAUGUCAUGUUUAUGUGUUUUAUGACAUUCUAACCAUGUCUUCUGGCUGGACAUGGCAGUUAAACAUUAUAAUACAGCAGUCAUAAACCUGAACCAUCUGAUGACCAUACCUAUUAAUUCCUUAAUGUUGCUUGUAUAUAAAAUGAGUUCAGUAAUAACUUCUUGCUUUCUGGAAAUGGAGUAUGAAUAGGACAUUUGGAGCUGCUGUGUGGUUACAGCAGUGGGCAAGUGAUUAUGUUAGGGAUCACCGGCUGUGCUCGUCUUAGCCAUGGGCGACAUCUCAGAAAAUGCCAGCAUGACAAGGGUUAAUGCAUACACUUAGGUUAUCUCACUGAUGAGUUUAAGUUUUGAAAGCAAUUUUACUGCUGCACACCACCACAAACUUUUUUAUAUACGAUGUUUCCUUCAUGAAGCUUCAAAUAGUACUCACAUCAGACUGAAAUCAAUAUCUCCAGGAGAGAUUGGGGCAAUUUCACUUGAGGUUUUUGUUGUGGUUUCUUGCAGGGGGAAUAAAGAAGGUAGGAUAACCA
Molecule: long non-coding RNA, 1667 nt
Filed under: Chrysolophus pictus (golden pheasant)
Lineage: Eukaryota; Metazoa; Chordata; Aves; Galliformes; Phasianidae
Description: lncRNA (ENSCPIG00010006996.1)
Source: RNAcentral